UCCCUGGUGGCUCAGAGGGUAAAGCGUCUGCCUGCAAUGCAGGAGACCCGGGUUCGAUCCCUGGGUUGGGAA
Non-coding RNA from Bos taurus (domestic cattle), 72 nucleotides. NCBI's taxonomy places the organism in Eukaryota, Metazoa, Chordata, Mammalia, Artiodactyla, Bovidae. The record is from Rfam.